Molecule: long non-coding RNA, 575 nt
Filed under: Panax ginseng (ginseng)
Lineage: Eukaryota; Viridiplantae; Streptophyta; Magnoliopsida; Apiales; Araliaceae
Description: long non-coding RNA (PGIN_LNC006798)
Source: RNAcentral
AAGAAAUUUAGGGACCAACCAAAAAUAUACUCAUAUCAGACACUAAAAUAUGAAUGAAAACCAAUAUUUUAACAACAACAAAUUGAAUAAAACUUAAAACAUAAUAAAAUGUGUUUCAGAAAAUACACUCAGAAUGGAAACAAUGAUUUUAUCAAACAACAACUUCAACAUCCAUGAUACUACUGAACAAAAAAAAAAUACAAACCAAAACACAACCAUGCAUAAAAUAAAAACACAAAAAAUCAAAAACAACUAAAAAAUAUAAUUCUUAAAAAAAAAAUUAACAAACCUUCAAAUGUUUCUGCCGUGGAACCAUUUUUCGACUAUGAGCCUGAACUUUAUCUUCUUUGACAACUUUUUCGGCAUAACCUUCAAAAUCUGAAUCAAUAUUCACCAUAGAUUUCGCCUUCUUCUUCGAUUUCAACAACAACCUCUUACCCUGUUUAGAAGACUUUGAACUACUAUCCUUCACCACUAAAGAUAACUUCGAAUCCUCCAUAUUAAAACCAUCUGGAACUCUUUUCCUCUUCCUAUCAGGAUUCUUAUCCCCCAUUCCCUCCAUGCUCUUCCUCGUA